GUGGGGCUGAGACUUCGCGUCUUAACAAGCUGCUCUCAGUUGAUGCUGAUCCUCAUGGUCCAAUGUAUGACAAUGCUGUUGAAUGUGCCUCUUCAUUUCAGCACACUGCCUUCAGGCAGGGAAUGGGCCACUCCUGGCACCCUGCACAUUUUAGCAUUUGUUUCCUGUCUCUCCCCACUAGAAUGCAAGCUGCAGAGGAAUUGUAUCCGUAGCACCUGGCUUCGCAGACCAAGAGCAAGUCGGCACACCAGGACAGGCACUCGCAUGGGUGCCCAGAAGUUUCAAGAUCUGACCUUGGAGAGACCAGGUCCGGGAGGCUGCCGGGAAGUCUCCAUCACACCGGCCUCAGCCGAGUCACAGGAACGCAGGCUCUGCCAUGCCCAGAAGCCUGAGAUGCAACUUCAAGGACAACGGGAGCCAGAACGCUUGACCUCACACGGAAGGUGACUCCUAACCACCACCACACUUGACGUAGCACCAGCACACGGAGAUUAGGCCUACACCAAUGGCUAAUUGAGACCAUGCAUCACUAUUAAGGCAUCUUCAGCAAAAGGAACUAUGGAAGUUCUGCAUGAAACAUAGACACCUGUUAGAAAAGGAACUAAAUUUCAAACCGGGAAUGUGGUGUUGAAUCACAGCAAAGUGUCCAGAAGGAACUCCCAAAGUACUGUUUUCCAAAAUAUAGAAUGAUAUAGAAGAUUGUUUUAGGUGGAAUUCCUGGAAAUAAAUUUUUAAAUGUU
Long non-coding RNA from Homo sapiens (human), 740 nucleotides. Ensembl annotates it as long intergenic non-protein coding RNA 1100. The record is from Ensembl. NCBI's taxonomy places the organism in Eukaryota, Metazoa, Chordata, Mammalia, Primates, Hominidae.